This is a long non-coding RNA of Lagopus muta (rock ptarmigan), 2856 nucleotides long. RefSeq lists it as uncharacterized. The record is from RefSeq and is a predicted model, not a curated record. NCBI's taxonomy places the organism in Eukaryota, Metazoa, Chordata, Aves, Galliformes, Phasianidae. The transcript is spliced from 7 exons.
UUCUUGUGUUCCUGUUUUCUUGAGGCUUUCUAAAGGCUUCCAAGAUGGCUGAUUGGUAGCAUUGAUACUUGCUUUAUGCCGAAAUCCUGUAGGCUCAGGCUGCUCAUUGAGCUGUUUGCUUAGGAGAGAGAAGUGUUCUGAAACUGUGGCUUUUGAGAGGAAGAAUGAAGGCAUUUUGAGAAAGGUGCACAUAUGCUAAUGAUGAAUUUAACAGUGUAUGGGAACUUCUGAAUCGUGGCCUGAACCUGUGACUGACCAUCAGAGGAGAGCGAUGAGUCAGCCCUGGGAGCACUGGUGAAGCAGGUGGAAGAACAAGCAACCUGUUGAUUGCUGUCUGAAAUGAAAGCUGCUGCAACUGGAUGCAACAGGGAGAGAAGCAAUGAUGAAUGUGCAUCGUAACUCUGCCCCGAGGAAAAGAAAGGGUUCUGGAUUUAUGGAAAAACUUCUCCUUCAACUGAACAAGCCAAGCUCUGUGUUGAUGUUUCCGAUGAAAAUUCUGCGAAUGAAAGUUUUCUUUUAAUGUAAAAGGACAUUGUUACAGAAAGAAUCAAAUAUCCAAGUUCAGCUGAAUGAGUUUCAACACGGACCCUGUAUGGAUACAAACUGCACGGUUUGUAUUUCUGCAGUAAUGCAGAUGGAAGAAUUGUUAACCUUUUCGCAAUAAUUCUGUGAAGCGUAUUUUCAUAAUGCUGUGUGCUUAGGCCAAAAGUUGAACAACGUCAACCUUAUUGCGCCUACCAGGAAUUAGUAACUUGUGACUGGCCUUGAAGACUUACUAAAAACACAGUCUGUAUUAGGUUUGUUUUAUUUUUAAUCAUCCUGAUUUUCUGUUUGUGGCAGUACGAAGAGCAUUUAAGAAUACUCAUUGAAAAUUAUGGGCUACUACAGCUUCACAUUCCAGAAGGGAAGAGAACUUGUCAGGUGUUUUUUCUUUCUUCUAGCAACGGUUAUUGAAUUCAUACUAGAAAAUUCACAGAAUGAAAAUCAACAGUCAGCACUCCAUCACAUUAUGAGUGAAAGGUUUUUGUAGCUAAUAUUUAGAGACACUGAUGUUGUUGUUGUUGUUUGUUUGACUGAAGAAAUUUUCUGUCAUAGUGAUGUUUGACCAUAUUUUGACUGUUGCAGUGAUUUUUCUGGAAAAAAAAACCCGUUUUUUGUUUGCUUAUCUGUAUUAGCACUGCCUGCACUUUAAGUUUGGUUCCAGUCUAGUGUGAAACAUUCAUUUGCUAACGUAAGUUUUUAAUGAGAUAUGAAAGAAAUAUAUUACAAGUUUUGAUGCUUGCUUUUCGCCAUCUCCAAACAUUAGUGUGUUGGUUCUAAAGCUAAAUCCUGUUUCUCUCUUGAAAGUUUGUUCGUGUCUGAUUUCCGCAGAACAUCGCUAAGACAUGCUUGUCAUUUGAAGUAUGCCAAAUGGGCAUUUUACUACACAGUGCAGCUCCACCUAAUAAGAUCCACAGAUCUGUAAUAAUGGGAUUUGAACCUUGGUUCUACACGCUGAUUAGAAGAAUCACAUAAAGAGGGAGGAAGACCACAACGAAAGUACGAAAAAAAUCUUUUGCCUAGGCCAUUCUCAUGAGUCUAACUUGUUUAGGCUUCUAGAUCUCUGAUUAUUCAGGCUUGCUGAAUUUUAGCAUAGUACUAAUAUAGUCUCAAUAACUCUUUGAAGAUCUGAAGUCAGCAAAACAUGAAAACUCUGAUUUGCUGUGAAGAUUUCAGUGAAGUAGAGAACUGGUCUGGUCUGUGGUUUGGUUCUUUAAUGCAGAAUCUUGUACUUACGGAAAGAGCUCAUACUUCAGAUGAAAGGCAGUUAUUAGUGUAGCUCACUAAACAAGUAGAAUGUUGGGCGAAAGCUGGAUUUCACUUCACAGAAAUUGUAGGGUAACUCAAAUCUGUUGUCUUCUACUCCUCAUAGAUAAGGAAUAGAUGAUUUCUUUGCUGUGUACAGUAAAAUAGAAUUUGACUCUUUUUUUCUGAAAUACAUCCUCUUGAUUUCUUGAGUUAGUAAUACUUCUGCUUCUUAACAAGUUGAUGGCUUCCAAUUAGAAGUAGGUAUGCAUUUUCUUAGAAUUAUUAGUAUGAGAAUUGUGUUGGAAUUCUUGUUUUCACACUACAUUAAGCAGGAACAAACUGAAAACUCAGAUGAUAAAACUAAGUUGAAUUUCUUUAAAUCAAUAACUUAAUUUAAAUUAUAUUGUAUAUGGAACACCUAGGUUUAUUAGCAUAAAUUUUUCUGAAAUAAAUGAGUAUGUGAUUCUGAAAUACUGUUAUAACCUCUGAUUUCUUUCCACAGAGUAGUGAUCAGAUGAAUUACUUAACGGGAGUCUAACAGAUUGCUUCCCAAAACAGAUUAUUUUAUAAAAAGAUGAAGUUGUUCUGUCAUUUGGUUUUACUUUGUCUUGACUGUUGUAGGAACUAUCAAGAGGUACCAAAAUAACAUUAAAAGUUUUCCUAGUAAAAAUUAGAAAGCCUUCUCAACCUUUCAAAGGCAUAUGGAGUACUCCUUUUUCUUUUCAUGCACCCUGUUGUGUUUCAUUUUACUGCUCUCUAAUUUUUUCCCUCAAUUUUGCAGAAUGGCAAAAGAAAUAGACAAUAAAUAAUUAAGUAAAAGCCUCCCUGGAAAAGUAUUACUUGCAUGUGAGAGCGUUGAAAAAUAAACAUAUUUUAUUUCAUAAGAGCUAGUUUGGAUUCCAACAUGCUUCUACGCUUCUAAUCUCCUUUAAUAUCUUUGUAUUAGGUUUACUUCUCAUGUCUUGUUGUAACGUGAGUUUUGCAUGGACUCCUAACUCCCUUACUGUGCACUUUUCAACUUGAGUGAAUAUUUAAUUGUUAGAGAAGUUAGUUUUUCUUCUUGUGGAA